GGGUGUUAGUUUCUGCUUUCCUUCACUGUGCAGCUUUGCAUGUCACGAGACAGGUGUUUACAUUCCACAGUCUGUACUGUCUGUACUGUUGGAGUUUCUCACGGGAAAGGGAGACUGGAUGUGACGUACACUGGUUUCCUGUUUUUUUCACUGUGUGAUUCUCUCCGAGCUGAGAGAGGAGAGAGGAUGCAUUUUCUGCUCCUGCAGAGGCAAGAUGUCUUUCUGUAAUAUACCAGCAUUGAACUGUAAAUAAAGCAAUAUAGAGUAUGCAGCACAUUUUCUUCAUCCUUCCGCUGGCCACGAGGCUCUGCUUUAAAUCAACACGUGGUUAUGGGCUCCAGGGGUCGAAUCGGAGUGCCGGCAGAGGAUCGGAAUGCAGAGGAACGGAUCGGAAAGGAAUCUGCUCUGCGCGUAGGGAUGAUUGAUGAGGUAUGUGCUACUGCUCCGGGCAGCCUGCCAGCUUCAAGUUAAUGGCUUUAUGGCUGGACUUUGAACUUUUAAAGCCGGUUUUGCCGGGAAUAGGCAAAAGGCUCCCAGGCACAAGUCACUAUGCUGGGGAAAUCGAAAGUAACUUUUAAGUGUGCCUUUGUAAUCAGGCAGCUGCAGCAGUGACGCAGCAAGAUUUAAAGCAGCAUAGAUAUGACGCUGAAGGCUAAUGCCAGAGUCAUGAUGGCCCUUCAGGAUGCUUGUGGGAUUCCUAAGCUCAACAAGAAAAAUUACAGCGACUGGGUUCAGUAUGCAGAGGCAAUUCUGCGGAAAGAGGGUUUGUUUGAGGUGAUUACAGAAACCCCCCCAGUUCCAGUUACAGAUGCCUGGGAAGCUAAGGAUUCCAAAGCAAGGGGAACUCUUACAUUGAUAGUAUCCCCAGAAGAGCUCUGUCUGUUGCGUGAUAAGACCUCAGCCAGAGAAAUUUGGGACGCUCUGAAAGAGGCUCACUUAAGGACAGAAGCUGGAUCCACUAUGUUUUAUUUUAACAAACUGCAUAAUAUGGCUCUUGCUGAAGGUGGAGAUGUGCGUUUACAUCUGAUGGAGAUGCAAAAUCUGAGACAUGAGCUGCAACAGAGAGGACUCAACUUUCCAGAGGCUGUGUAUUCUUUCAUGAUACUACAAUCUUUGGGUUCAGGUUGGGAGUCUGUUGCAACCCAGAUUGCUGUGCAACCAACUGCUCAGCUGACAGUGGACUUUGUUACUGCCGUGAUUUUAAAUGAAGCAGAUCGCCGGGGUGCUAGCUGCAUGGGCAAGGAGAGUCUUCACAGACGUCAUCCCAUAGUGCAGUGGAACCACCAGAUGGCGCCAAAGCUUUGAAGGCAGUCGAAUGCUACUCGUGUGGACGUCUAGGCCAUAUGAAGAGGGAAUGCAGACAUCCCAGGGCCAAGACAGAGCAGCGCAGCGAAGCUCAUCGCGCGGAAAAGGCCGAGGCAAAGGCAAAGGUCCGGUGUCUAGGACAACCCAGCACAAGGCUAUGGUUUCACGCUUCACUCCAAAGGUUGCAGAGGUCCAGAAGACGUCUAGAUCUUUCUUCGUUGUUGAUUCAGCGGCCACCCACCACAUGUGCAACGAUAAGAAACUGUUUGUGUCUUUUACACCGCAGGAAGGUGCGAUUCACCAGGCGGAUGACCACACUAUUCCCAGUAAAGGCUACGGAACUGUUGUUCUUCACAGUUUGGACUUAUCGAUACAGAAUGUGCUUUACGUGCCAGACGCCAAACAUAAUCUGCUCAGCGUUGGACAGCUGAAUGAGCGGAACAUUGACGUUUCCUUCAAGAACAAGAAGUGCAUCAUCACAAAGAAAAAUGAUUAUGUAUUGCAUGCAGAAUAUGUUGAUCAUUUGUUUGUUUUGUAUUAUGAUGAUGUGGUGCAGGAUGACACUUGUUGCAUUGCAGGUUCUAACAAAAGUUUGCAUGCAGAAUGUAUUCACGAUUUUCAUCGCAAAUUUGGUCAUUUGCAUUUUGAGGCAGUAUCUAAAAUGCCUGCCUUGGUUGAAGGUAUGACUAUUAAACCCUGCAGGUACCACAUGAAGUGCAAAGCAUGCGCAGCAAACAAGGUGAAAAUGGCUGCGAAAGGUAAGGUGUCUAGUAGGAAAGCUACAGAACCAUACCAGGUUGUUCAUGCUGAUUUGGUUGGUCCACUUGCGCCCUCUUUGGGUGGAAAUAGAUACUUCAUGGUUCUCAUUGAUGCAUUUUCUAGAUAUAUUUUUGUGUACAAUCUCAAGCAGAAAUCAGAGGCUUUUCCUAGGUUCAAGGAAUUCUGUGCUUGGUUGGAAAAUGUGCAUGGUAAGAAGAUAAAGACUCUUUUCAGUGAUCGCGGGGGGGAAUUCACUUCUCAGCAGUUUGAAGCUUUUCUGACUGAGAAAGGAAUUCAACACGAUUUGUCUAGUCCUCGCUCGCCAUGGCAGAAUGGACUUGCGGAACGGGCAAAUCAGACAUUGCUUCAAGGGUUAAAAACCUUGCUGCAUGAUGCCACUCUUCCAGAGAGUUAUUGGGCCGAAUCUCUCUCGUGUUUUGUUUACAGUUACAAUCGCAGGUUAUCUUCAGCGAUCGGUUGUACCCCCUAUGAGAAGAUGUUUGGCAAGAAGCCAUACAUCAAACACAUGAAGAUUUUGGUUCUGACAUGUGGGUUCGCUCACCACAAAACUCCAAGUUAGACAAGCGUGGAUUGCAUGGUAUCUUUCUAGGUUAUCAGAAAGGGUCUUACAGAAUAAUGAUGACUGACUCUAAGACAAUUAAGCUCACGAGAAGUGUUGAGUACAAUGCAAAGUGGGGGGAGAAUGUGGGAAUUUUCCAAUGUUAUCCUGAUGACGGUGAUGAGACUGAGGAUAGUCAAAAGCAACCGCAACAACCCACACCCACUGAUGAAGGUUCUGAGUCUGAAUCUGAAACUGAAUCAGGUGAUUCAGAGGAUUUCAAGAGUGCGAAAGCCUCUAUGCGACCCUCUGAAAGCUCUGAUCAAGAAUUGGAGGAACCAUUGUUCACAAUAGGUCGUUUUUCUCCUAAGAAGGAAGAGGAGAGUGUUGAAGACUUAAGGCUAAUUCGUAGGUCACAGAGAGCCACAAAAAGCAAACCUCCAAAGAGAUUUGCUGAUGAGUUUGCUACGAUAGCAGUAACAGCUAUUAAAAGCUCCAAGAAGGUAUUUGAACCUUCAAGUUUCCAAGAAAUCCAGGGUUUGGAUUCAAAGGAAGCUGAGCCAUGGUUAAAUGCCAUGAAGGCUGAGCUUGAUUCCUUAGAAAGGAACAAAACAUGGGAGCUAGUUCCAGUAGUUCCAGGAAUGAAACUGCUUGGAAGCAAAUGGGUCUUCAAAGCGAAGACAGAUCAAAAUGGCAAGAUAGUCAGACACAAAGCCAGAUUGGUAGCCAGAGGUUUUGCACAGGUACCAGGUGAAGACUAUCACGAAACCUAUUCACCCACAGUGAGAUAUGAAAGCAUUAGGCUUAUGCUCAAGCUAGCUGCAGAGGAAAAUCUACACAUUAGUCACCAUGAUAUUAAUACAGCUUUUCUGUACGGAUCUCUAGAUGAAUCACUUUAUAUGCUUCCACCUGAUGGCGUACAGGUAAAACAGGGAUUUGUUUGUGCUCUGAAGAAAUCCCUUUAUGGUCUCAAACAAAGUGCACGGUGUUGGCACACAAAACUCACUGAAGUAUUGUUUUCUCUAGGUUUUCAGCAAGGAAAGCUGAUCCAUGUGUAUUUGUCAAAGAGGAGGGCAAAAGAAACUGUACUGUUUGUUUUAUGUUGAUGAUUUAUUAUUCUUUUGGAAAGAUGUUGCAAUGUACAAUAGCGCCCUAGCUCAACUGAAAGAGCACUUUGACAUGAAAGAUCUUGGUGAGGUAAACAACUACCUAUCUCUGGAAAUAGAGAGAGAUCAAGGUGGUAACAUUCUAGUACACCAGUCACGGAAAAUUGCUGAUGUGUUAAGCAAACUAAAUCUGAUGGAUGCUAACCCUGUAGACACACCGAUGACAACAGGUUAUCAGGUAGAUGACACUGAAGAAGCAUUUUCUGACACUACACUGUACAGGAGUGUGCUAGGCAAGCUAAACUUCAUUGCCAGAUGUUCAAGACCAGACAUUGCUGUUAGCUGUAAUUUGCUAAGCAGACAAGUCAACAAUCCUAGUGUCAAGGAUUGGAAAGCUCUGAAACGCAUAGCGCGGUAUUUGAAAGGCACUAUGCAUUACAGACUGAGAUUUAACAAUCAGAAGUCUGGUGGUCUUGAGAUAUUUGCAGAUGCAAGUUUUGGAAGUGACGCUACAGACAGGAAAAGUACGUCUGGAGUUUGCUAUAUGUACAAUCAGAGUCUGUUUGAUUGGUCAUGCAAGAAGCAAACAACAGUUAGCUUAAGUACUUGUGAAGCCGAACUGAAUGCACUGUCUUAUUCACUUAAGGAUUGUGAAUGGUUAGAACAAUUGUGCAAAGAUAUGAAAAUUCCUGUCAAAUGUCCAAUCCAGGUUUACCAGGACAACAAAGCAUGUUUGGCUUUGCUGAAGUCUGAAGGUUGUAAGCAAAGCACAAAGCACUUGCAAUUAAAGUUGCAGCAUGCUAGGGAAUGUAUUCAGAAGGGACUCGUAACGGUGUCCUAUAUGCCAAGUAAUGAAAUUCCUGCUGAUGUAUUGUCCAAGAUUGUAUCAAGGGAUCAACACUGUACCUAUGUACAGAAGUUGGGUUUGUACUGAUAUUGUGCAAACACGCUGCCCAGUGAUGUUCACAGAAAGGGGGAGGAUGUUAGUUUCUGCUUUCCUUCACUGUGCAGCUUUGCAUGUCACGAGACAGGGGUUUACAUGGGACCAGUGGCCAUGAUCUUUGUUUUUUUGAUGUUGAGCUUCAGACCAUAUUUUGUGCUCUCCUCUUUCACCCUCGUUAAAAGGUUCUUUAAUUCCUUCUCACUUUCUGCCAUCAAGGUUGUAUCAUCUGCAUAUCUGAGGUUGUUGGUAUUUCUUCCGGCAAUCUUAAUUCCGGCUUGGGUUCAUCCAGCCCAGCCUUUCGCAUGAUGAAUUCUGCAUAUAAUUUAAAUAAGCAGGGAGACAAUAUACAGCCUUGUUGUACUCCUUUCCCAAUUUUGAACCAAUCAGUUAUUCCAUAUCCAGUUACCCCUUACGAACUACAAUUCCCAGCACUCUUAACAAACCCCAAGGGUCAAUGAGUCCAACCCCUGGCAAUGCAGGAAGCUCAGCUAAAGCAUCCAUGACAGAGGGCCACCCAACUUCUGCUUAAAAAUCUCCAAGGAAGGAGAGUCCACAACCUCUCGAGGGAGACUGUUCCACUGUUGAACAGCUCUUACUAUCAGAAGGCUCUUCCUGGUGUUUAGUUGGAAUCUCUUUUCUUGUAACUUGAAGCCAUUGGUUCGAGUUCUGCCCUCCAGAGCAGGGGAAAACAAGCUUGCUCCACGUGACAGCCCUUAAGGUAGUUCAAGAUGGCUAUCAUAUGAGAAGCAACUCUGAUCUUUUCUUUAGUCUCUGCCUUCUAAUCUGUUGGUUCUGUUAUGGCUAUUAAGUACGGACAGGCGCAGAUUGCUGUGCCUGCAACUUGGUGUUUUGUUUUGUUUUUAAUGACGCCUCCCCACCAAGAAGUGUGCAAAAGCACACAGUUUGGCAAUUGUGAAUUCGCAGUUCCCUGGUUUUGAGCAAAUCGGGAGAGAUAAAAAGUGAGGGGUAUUCCUCCCUUCCCGAGCACAUCAGAAAUAUUUAGAAGCACAGCCAAAACAGAAAUGAAAGCUUUGAGGAGUGUGCAGGCAUGGAAAAAAGAAAAGCAGAAAAUGACAAUUGGUUCACAUACCCCGAGUGGAGUGUUUAGGAGCCUGAUGUUCCCCCAAAAUAUCAGAUUAUCAUCAUAUCAGGCAUGGGCAUAGGCGGGGGGGCAGCUGUCCCCCCAAUAAAUAAAAAUAAAUAAAAAUACAUAGGUAACUGAGAUUCUGUCCCCGCAACAAGAGACCUGCCCCCCCAACAAAAGGCCUGGCUACACCCAUGAUAUCAGGUAAUCCCAAAUUUAUAGGGGGGGAGCAUCAGGAUUGGUGUUUUUUGAGGACUAUGGAUGUGGGCUAUGCAAAUUAAAUGGGACAAGCCCAAGACCCUCACAGAACUUAGUUUCUCAUCUUUCUAGUGUUAAAGGAAACUGCUGCAAAGGUUAAGUCCACAUGCAUUUUUUUCUGCAGAAGUGAAAGUUUCAUUUCUCAGCUUGCAAGUCGAAGAACAGAAACCAAUAGUGCUGCAGUCUUGCUUCAUCGGUGGAAAUAGGCUAGACAUGAGACUGGAGGCAAACCAGCUGGGCUACUGGCCCCAGCCAGGAUGUGUAAGAUAGGGCCCUUUGCCCUCCUUCUUAAACAGAGGGUCUUUCUUUCAUCUCUAGCUGGAGAAGCCAGGGAUUGAACUUGGGACCUUCUACAAGUACUUGUAAAGCAGUUGCCUUACCACUGAGCUAUGUCUUUAUGUUCCCACCUGAGUGUUGUAAAUAAUGGGUUGACUCUGGCGCAGGCACUGUAAUACUGGUUGGCAUCUGACUGUCUCAACAGGCAAUGGAGUGUGCCUCCGAGGGUGAAGUCAAUCUGCAGUGUUAGCAGUACUGAAGUGCUGGGUUUCCUGCAUUGGCAGGGGGGUUGACUAGAGACCUUUGAGGCCCUUUCCAAUUUUAUUAUCUGUGUGCCGACACAUAAUAGAGAAGAAAAUGACCUGUCCCUGACCCCAAGAGGUUUGCAGCCUAUGAAGCAACAUGGCGAGAAAGAAGGGAAGGACACUGAGACAAAGAUGUUGGCUUUUGCAGUAUGGUAGCGCUGCAGAGAGCUUGCUGGGGAGACCAUGCAUUAAAAAGGGACUCAAAAAUAACUUAAACAAGGUUUUAAUUACAAAAACAAAAACUCCUUAUACACUAAAUACAUCAACAACAAACCAGACCCAACCACCAACCCAUCCCCCAGGGUAAUGGGAGAGCUAGGUGCUGCUCCUUAUAUACUACACCCAAUUGCCAACACAGCUUAAUCAGUACAACUCAGCAGCACCUGCUAUGUUUCACAGCUGUAAAGCUGGGUCUCGUUAUCUUGCUCUGGCCCUUGCUCUGGCCCCUUAAAGACAUACACAUCGGGUGGAACAGUGAUGAACCUAUACAUUUAAAGAAAACAUUCAACAUAAGGAUGUGGAGGAAGCUAUCGGGAAGUUGCUGCAACCUGGCCUGGAUUUUAAGCAAGUACAUACUCUCCAACAUUUCUCUGAUGAAAAUAGGGACGUCCCAUUCCACCAUGAUAAUUUGACUAUUUAUACACCACACAUCUUAAUGGGUUGCCCCAGCACUCUGGGCAGCUUCCAAUAUAUACUGUAUAAAAACAUAAGAAAACAUUAAACAUUACAAAACUUCCCUAUACUGGAUUGCCUUCAGAUGGCUUGGGAGUCGGAUAACUCCAUAUCAUCCAACAUUUCUCCAGUGAAAAUAGGGACAUCCUACCAUACCCUCCAACAUUUCUCCAAUAAAAAUAGGGACAGCCUGAAGAAAAGCAAGACAUUCCAGAAUCAAGAAGAAGAAGAAGAGUUUGAAUUUGAUACCCCGCUUUAUCACUACCCAAAGGAGUCUCAAAGCGGCUAACAUUCUCCUUUCCCUUCCUCCCCACAACAAACACUCUGUGAGGUGAGUGGGGCUGAGAGACUUCAGAGAAGUGUGACUAGCCCAAGGUCACCCAGCAGCUGCAUGUGGAGGAGCGGAGACGCAAACCCGGUUCCCCAGAUUACGAGACUACCGCUCUUAACCACUACACCACACUGGCUCUCAAAUCAGGAACUGGGACGGCUUCUCAAAAUUAGGGAUGCCCCUGGAAAAUAGAGACACUUGGAGCGUCUGCAGGUAGGCAGGCAGGUGGGCGCUGCUUGAGGACAGAAUCAGGUUGGUGGAGCUGUGCCCCAUUUGCACCAAUGAGCUAGGUUGCACUAGGCAUCUUGGGGGAAAGGGAUGGAGACACUGCUUGUCCAAUAUGGUAUUUUUAUUGGAAGAAAAUGUCUGGAAUGGUGUGUGUGUGUGUGUGUGUGUGUGUGUGCACAACACCCACCCACAGCAUGAGUCCAUGACUCUGCUGUACUGCUACCACAAGAAAGAGAGAGGAGGAGGAGGAAGAGGAGGAGGAGGCGGCAAGUGGCAGGUGUUUGCAGGUGACUUAACAUUCCCAUCCCUAUUUUUCCUCUUUCCCUUUUGUAACAGGCAGCAAAAAGGGCAACAGAGUGGUGAGGAUCACAGCACAAGCCUCAGGGGGAGAGAAAGUGCUGAAGGGGUAAGCAGCUGUACUACUCCAGACAUUUUUCGAUUGGGCUGAUUAUCUAGAUCAUAAUAUUUUCUUUUUUUAAGAGGGACUUGGGGACCACAAAAGCAUUUUCACCUAACAAUUGUAUCAAGGGGAAUGCAGGAGUAGUCAGUUUUAAAAUAGACAUCUAAAAAUAAAUUAAAAACAUUUUUUAAAUGGACAAAUUAGGGGGUUUCAGAAAAUGUUUGGCAUCUCAGUGAAGCAGUAAGGCGGAAGAAACAUUACUAAGUUUUUUAAAUUAAUAGACAAAUGGGGGUGCUUGGUGCGCCAGAAAAAAUGUUUGGUGUCACAGUAUCGAAGCAAGGAAGCAGGCAGCAAUAUAUAUUUUUGAAAAUGUGGGGAAGGAACUAAAAUAAAAUAUUUAGGCAGGUUGUGGGUUUGCUGCCCUGAUCUAGAUCCAUUUUAAUCUGGGUUCGAGACUAGGUUCCAUGCUAAAAAAACACCUUCAUCACCCUGCUGAAUGACCAGCACUGGGAGAAGACAUGCAGACAACUGUGAUCCAGUCAGUUUUCUUAAGCCUCUCUGCAGAUUUCAGAAUCACAACCACAGUAGCUUUCUCUAGCCUGGCUGUUCAGGAUGGGAGCUGAAGCAACUUUGCUACAGUCGUUCUCAUCCUACUUGCUGAAAGACUGUUUCCCAGAAGCUGGUGCUGGAGGAACUUUCUGCUGAGGCCCACAAUGCAUGUUUUGUGAGGUUCCGUAAGGCUGUGUCUUCUUCCUCCCUUUGUUUCAGCAUUGCAUAAGUCCACUGAAUGAAGUCAUAGAAUUGUAGAACUGAACAAUUCCCUUUAAUCCCACCGCUUAUAACUCUUUCUCUCCCCACCCCCCCUUGUGUGUGUGUGUGUGUGUGUGUGUGAGAGAGAGAGAGAGAGAGAGAGAGAGAGAGAAGUUUAAGUGAGGCUUACAUGUCAUACAUCUGGUCACGUGGGUCCUAGUCCAUGAAAGCUUAUGCCACAAUAAAUGUGUUGGUCUUCCAGGUACCACAAGACUCUGCUGUUUUGCAGCAACAUAUUCUGCUGCCCCACUGGGAAGUGUUGAUAUUUCAGUACUGAAUAAUUUGAAUAGCUAUUUUAAUUCCUCCCACCAAAUGUUUUCCGUAGCAAAGGUGCCACUUUUUUCUUUCUUUUUUAACAGAAGCAUGUCUUUGUUCCUGUAACAACUGCCCAACAGACAGAAUGAAGAAGAAGCCCUGCUGGAUCAGACCAAAUGGCCAUUUAAUACAGCCUCCUCACAGCCGCCAACCAGAUGCCUAUAGAACAUCAGCACAAAAGCCCUCUCCCCAUUUCUGCUCCCUGGCAGCUGAUAUUUCGAGAGACCAUAAAGAAGAGCCCUGCUUAUGGAUCGAGCCAAAGGGUCUUUGGGUUGCCAUACUUUGAAGAGAAAAAAAGAGGACAUAUUUGCCGACAUCUACUUUUAACUAUUUGAGGGACAUGGGUGGUGCUGUGGGUUAAACCACAGAGCCUAGGACUUGCCGAUGACGGUCGGCGGUUAAAAUCCCCGCAACAAGCUGUAGCCGGCUCCCUCAGCCAAUAAAGCAAGAUGAACGCAACCCUCAGUCACGACUGGACCUAAUGGUCAGGGGUCCCUUUACCCUUUACCUUUACUUUUAACUAUGGAUCUCUAUAGCAACUCUCAUCAUGAAAAAGAGGACCUGUCCUGGAAAAAGAGGGUAUAUGGCAACCCAGCAUCCUGUACUCGCAGUGACCAACCAGAUGCCUGUGGGAAGCCGGGAAGCAGAGCCUGAUUGUAGAACAUUAGCCACUAAUAGCAUGCUCCUCCAUGGAUUUGUCCGACUCACUUUUAAAGCCAUCCAGUUUGGUGUUCUCUUGUGGGAGUGAAUGCCAAAGUUUUGUAAUUAACGAUGGAAAGAGCGAUGUUAUCUAUGAAGGCGAUGAUAUAUGGAAACCAUCUCGAUUUGAGGAUUGGAAGAACGGAAAAAUUCACACAGGAUUAUUAUUGGUGUUUAUCGGCUUAAGGAGACUAUCAGAAGAGAUCAUAAAGAAAAAAGAGAAAAUAUAUGAACAAGAUGUGAUGUGGAAACAGCAAGAUAAGACUGGACAGAAUUAUGAACUCUGUUUGGAUUGAUUUGGACUGGGAUUUGGACAUUAAAGCAGUAGCAAGAAGAUGAUCAGAACCCCCCUUCGGAUCUUGAAAUAUGGGUCCCCUCAACAACAAAAUUUAAAAUUCGGCUUUGUGAUUCGGAAUUUAUGUGAUGUGAUUUAAUUUGAUUUGAUUGGCCGGUUAAUAAAAAUUAUUUUUUUUUAAAAA
RNAcentral lists this long non-coding RNA (10529 nucleotides) under Podarcis lilfordi (Lilford's wall lizard). Lineage: Eukaryota; Metazoa; Chordata; Lepidosauria; Squamata; Lacertidae. The record is from RNAcentral.